RNAcentral lists this ribosomal RNA (700 nucleotides) under uncultured bacterium. RNAcentral's name for it is "bacterial SSU rRNA". It matches the Rfam family "Bacterial small subunit ribosomal RNA", at positions 42 to 781 of the family's 1533-position model. The record is from RNAcentral.
UCAGGCCUAACACAUGCAAGUCGUACGAGGGUUUCAUACCCAAGUGGCGGACGGGUGAGUAACACGUGAGAAUCUACCCUAAGGAGGGGGACAACAGUUGGAAACGAUUGCUAAAACCCCAUAUGCUUCCGAGUGAAAUAGAUUUAUCUGCCUUAGGAAGAGCUCGCGGCUGAUUAGCUAGUUGGUGGGGUAAUGGCCUACCAAGGCGACGAUCAGUAUCUGGUUUGAGAGGACGAUCAGACACACUGGAACUGAGACACGGUCCAGACUCCUACGGGAGGCAGCAGUGGGGAAUUUUCCGCAAUGGGCGAAAGCCUGACGGAGCAAUACCGCGUGAAGGAAGACGGCCUAUGGGUUGUAAACUUCUUUUUUCAGGGAGGAACUCAAUGACGUGUACCUGAAGAAUAAGCAUCGGCUAACUCCGUGCCAGCAGCCGCGGUAAGACGGAGGAUGCAAGUGUUAUCCGGAAUCACUGGGCGUAAAGCGUCUGUAGGUGGUUUAGUAAGUCGACUGUUAAAUCUUGGGGCUCAACCUCAAAAUCGCAUUCGAAACUACUAGACUUGAGUAUAGUAGAGGUAAAGGGAAUUUCCAGUGGAGCGGUGAAAUGCGUAGAUAUUGGAAAGAACACCGAUGGCGAAGGCACUUUACUGGGCUAUUACUGACACUCAGAGACGAAAGCUAGGGUAGCAAAUGGGAUUAG